UACCAGUUUUUCUCUCUAUCGACUUGCUCGAAUUCGAUGCUCUUGUCUACUAUCCUGUUAUUUCCUUUUGCAGUUCGGUAACGGGAGAGUGAAAUCCAUAGUUGAUUGUGCACCAUCCUCCACAACAGUAAAGAUAAAUGCAAGAAGAGAAGAAAACCACCUUGUAGUCCCCAAGCCAUGUCCACGGCCAUUCAGUGAGAAUCCCUGGUUUGCUAGCCAUUUUUCCUCAACCGGUCAGCUUUUUUCUCCAACUUAAAGUUUUGGCACAAUGAGCAUUACAUAUAUAUAACAAAAUAGUGGUGUUACUAAUGGUACACUAGCUUAAUCUCAUUUAAGUCCAGUCCAUCUAAUACCUACCUGGGGUGGGCAGCUGUCUUACUAUAUGCCUGGUCUCCUAAAUUAUUAUCAGUGCACUUGGACAAACAUAGAAAAACUUGGCGACCUAAUAUUAGAUGUAUAAUUGUUACAAAGUGUGAUAAUGUAGCAUGGUGUGUUUUUCCUGUGGAUA
Non-coding RNA from Salvia hispanica, 508 nucleotides. NCBI's taxonomy places the organism in Eukaryota, Viridiplantae, Streptophyta, Magnoliopsida, Lamiales, Lamiaceae. The record is from RefSeq and is a predicted model, not a curated record.